UGGACUCUAGGUUACUGUUAGUGUUAUAUAUCUAUAUGCAUGCAAACACCAUGCAUGUCGAAUGAACAGAAUAUGUGUAUGAGGAGAAAAGAUGGAAGCAAAUCAAGGUAUGUGUAAUUAAUAGUUAUUGAGGUUCAGAGUGGAUAAAUUUCUGCGUCUAUAAUUUGAUUAAUAUCGAUGACUACCUGAGAAGGGGAAUACAACGGAAUAUCUCUUAGGUGUGAUAAGGAGGUGGUGGAGACUUGUAUUCGUAUCCCUCGUCCUUUUUGGGAGGUGGUGGAGACUUGUAUUCGUAUCCCUUGUCCUUUUUGGGAGGUGGUGGAGACUCGUACUUGUAAGGCGGGGAUUUUUCAUGCUUUGGUGGUGGGCAUUUGUCUUCUUUUGGAGGAGGUGGUGGAGACUUGUACUCGUAUUUUGGUGGUUUUGGCUUGUGGGGUUUAGGUGGUGGAGGGCACUUAGGAGGAGGGGAUGGUGAAGGACACUUGGGAGGAGGUGGUGGUGAGGGACACUUUGGAGGAGGAGGUGGUGAGGGACACUUGGGAGGAGGCGGUGGUGACGGACAUUUGGACGGAGGCGGUGGUGACGGGCACUUGGGAGGAGGAGGUGGUGACGGGCACUUGGGAGGAGGAGGUGGUGAUGGGCACUUGGGAGGUGGUGGUGGUGAUGGACACUUGGGGGGUGGCGGUGGGGAAGGACACUUUGGAGGUGGUGGAGGAUAUUCUUUUGGUGGCGGUGGAGACUCGUACUUGUAUGGCGGAGGAUAUUUCUUAGGUGGUGGUGGAGACUCGUACUUGUAUGGUGGAGGAUAUUUUUUAGGUGGUGGAGGAGACUCAUAUUUGUAUGGUGGUGGAUACUUCUUAGGGGGUGGAGGAGACUCAUACUUGUAAGGCGGCGGAUAUUUUUUCGGUGGUGGUGGAGACUCGUAUUUGUAAGGUGGAGGAUAUUUCUUAGGUGGUGGUGGAGACUCGUACUUGUAAGGCGGUGGAUAUUUCUUAGGUGGUGGCGGAGACUCAUACUUGUAAGGUGGUGGAUAUUUCUUAGGUGGCGGUGGGGAUUCAUACUUAUACGGAGGAGAUUUUUCAGGAGGGGGUGGAGAUUCAUACUUAUAAGGAGGAGAUUUUUCAGGAGGGGGUGGAGAUUCGUACUUGUAAGAUUGUUCAGAAUCAGCAGUGAUGAACACUGGAAAGUUAAGUGACACAAGUAGCACCA
Molecule: long non-coding RNA, 1209 nt
Filed under: Daucus carota (carrot)
Lineage: Eukaryota; Viridiplantae; Streptophyta; Magnoliopsida; Apiales; Apiaceae
Description: long non-coding RNA (DCAR_LNC002983)
Source: RNAcentral